Molecule: non-coding RNA, 208 nt
Organism: Oryza glumipatula
Lineage: Eukaryota; Viridiplantae; Streptophyta; Magnoliopsida; Poales; Poaceae
Source: Rfam
AAUAAGUUGAUUUGUGAGUUUCUGUGUAUAACCCUUUGACCAUCCGUCUUAUAUGAAAUUUUUUAUGAUUAGUAUUUUUAUUUUUGUUAGAUGAUAAAACAUGAAUAAUACUUUAUGCAUGACUUAUCUUUUUAAAUUUUUUCAUAUUUUUUUUGAAAUAAAACGGACGGUUAAAGGUUAUACACGGAAACCCACGAAUCAACCUAUU